CCCCCACACCACUAGAUGUAUAUCUUCAACCACCAACUUACCAUCCGGAGACAAGGCCGAGUAUAGCCCACAAAGAUCUCCGCCACAGCACAACCCAAGGGGAGGCGCCAGGUGGGGUUGAUGGGGGAAGCUGGACCGUCAGGCUUGUCUGGAUUGGAAGGUGUUCCAGGUCCUUUUGGAUUGGCUGGGGCUGAUGGACCACAAGGGCAGAAGGGGGACAAAGGCCCUUAUGGUGUGGUUGGGGAUUCUGGAAACGCAGGCCUUAAGGGCGUGUCAGGAAGAAGAGGAUUGAAGGGUGACAUGGGAAAAUCUGGACCAAAGGAGAACAGCUGUUACAUGAUGCUCAGUAGUAAGUCUGUCAGUAAGACUUUCUGAAUGGCUAUGUUGUGUCCAGGGGCCAGAGGGUCUGCUGGGCAACAGAGGGCCCAAAGCGUCCCCUGGAUUGGAGGGUGUGUCUGGUGAGGCUGGGCCUCAAGGAGCAGUUGGCCUACCAGGACCUCUGGGACCAAAAGGUCGACCAGGCCCUGAGGGGAGACAAGGCCAGAAAGGUCAAAAGGGCAAUGAUGGUCGAAGUGGGAAUCCAGGAAAGACGGGACACAUCGGGAGGAGGGUCAAAAUGAAGCCAUCCCUUUUUCACAUAUUACAAUUUCUCAUUUCAAUGUAUAUGGAUCUUGAUUCUUCAUUCUAAAAGCUGUUUUUGUUACCAUGUAAGGGGAAAAUAGUGAAAUCUGGAAGCAGAGGCUGAAGAGGAGGGAGAGGAGAAAAGGUAAUCACUACUGACUGGGACACUUGGCAUACAAGGAGAGAAGGGUGAAAUGGGUGAACCAGGAGUCGAGGGAGAGAUGGGACGGACAGGCCCUCCUGCAGUUCAGGGGCUGAAGGGGACACAAGGCCCUUUGGGAGAGCCAGGGAGAGAUGGCAUUAACUUCUUCGAUAUAGGGGGCGAGGAGAACAGGGAGACAUUGGUCCUCAUGGGGGGUGGAGGACCCCAGGUCUAACUGGACUUCCUGUGACUUUCAGUGAUAUGCUAUUGCUAUUUCCUUUACUUUUCUAAAAAUAAAGUAGGAUUUUUAUACAGAGAAUAAUUCAAUUCUAACAUGAUUCCUUUUCUCUGUCUAUAGGGUUUGUUUGGACAAAUGGUAUAUUACUCUAAAUAAAAAUACCCGCAUGUGUUUUUUUUUUUUAAUGCUUACCUUGAUGUGUUCUGUACAUUUAUUAUGUGGAGAUUGGUGGAUUGACUGAGGGCACUGACUAAAUGGACUAUUCACCUGAAUAUCAGGGUCUAAAAGGAUUUGCCCGAAAAUCAGGUCCUGUUGGAGUGUGAGGCCUGCCUGGUCUCCCUGGACCUUCUGGCCCCCCUGGAACCUCUCUGAACCUUACUCUGGCACAGAUCAAGGCA
Molecule: non-coding RNA, 1399 nt
Organism: Oncorhynchus mykiss (rainbow trout)
Lineage: Eukaryota; Metazoa; Chordata; Actinopteri; Salmoniformes; Salmonidae
Source: RefSeq, a predicted model, not a curated record